RNAcentral lists this ribosomal RNA (460 nucleotides) under uncultured bacterium. Its description in RNAcentral is "partial 16S ribosomal RNA". It matches the Rfam family "Bacterial small subunit ribosomal RNA", at positions 338 to 795 of the family's 1533-position model. The record is from RNAcentral.
CCUACGGGAGGCAGCAGUGAGGAAUAUUGGUCAAUGGACGAGAGUCUGAACCAGCCAAGUAGCGUGAAGGAUGACUGCCCUAUGGGUUGUAAACUUCUUUUAUAUGGGAAUAAAAUGUUCCACGUGUGGGAUUUUGUAUGUACCAUAUGAAUAAGGAUCGGCUAACUCCGUGCCAGCAGCCGCGGUAAUACGGAGGAUCCGAGCGUUAUCCGGAUUUAUUGGGUUUAAAGGGAGCGUAGGUGGAGUGUUAAGUCAGUUGUGAAAGUUUGCGGCUCAACCGGAAAAUUGCAGUUGAAACUGGCAGUCUUGAGUACAGUAGAGGUGGGCGGAAUUCGUGGUGUAGCGGUGAAAUGCUUAGAUAUCACGAAGAACUCCGAUUGCGAAGGCAGUUCACUGGACUGCAACUGACACUGAGGCUCGAAAGUGUGGGUAUCAAACAGGAUUAGAUACCCCAGUAGUC